Molecule: non-coding RNA, 73 nt
Organism: Stegodyphus mimosarum
Lineage: Eukaryota; Metazoa; Arthropoda; Arachnida; Araneae; Eresidae
Source: Rfam
GCCUUCGUGGUGUAAUGGUCAGCACACUGAGCCGGUAUUUCAGAGGUCACUGGUUCGAUUACCGGCGAAGGCC